GUUUCUUCUUCUUAGCCGCGUCACCUCACCGUGUACGAGGGUGAACUCCACAUGAACGUCUCCUUGAGUAAGCAGCAGAACCCACAUGGCUGUUUCAAUUUUCAUAUUCUAUUUUUGUGUGUGCUGAUGUUGACUUCUCUUCUCCAUUGUUGACGAGCUACCCACGAAUGGAUUUGAUCUGCACGCAUGGCUAUGUAGCACCGACUACCAUCCACCACGGCUAUGGAUCAUGUGAUGUGGGGCCUAGACACGCUGAUUGCAGAAGCCAAUUUCGCCAUGGUCAUCACCAGCCGUUCAUCCCUCAACACCAAGCGGCUGGACCGAGAAUACUGCCAACCUUUUUGACUGUUUACAGGAGAGAGGUACUCCCUGCUGAAUGUAUGACUCUUGUGAGUUUGACUAUUAAGUAGUCAAAGAAGCAAGGAUGCCAGGAUGGAAUGUCAAGUUUAAAAGAAAUAAUGGCAGAGAUAUUAAAAUUCAAACCUGGCUUAUUUUGCUUAAUAUGGGUUCAGAAGGCAAUUGUCCCUGAGCUAAUGUCUAAACGUUACUGAAGUGCAGUCACGUGCAUUGGCUUUCUCAUGUGGGUUGGGCCUCAUACUUUUCUGUGAAAGCACUGCCAACUGCUGGUAUUUUUACAGUAGCCCCCAACUAAAUGGAGAAAAGUCCACUCGCAUUAGGAGUAAACUGUUCAUGCGUGGCU
Long non-coding RNA from Triticum dicoccoides, 700 nucleotides. RefSeq lists it as uncharacterized. NCBI's taxonomy places the organism in Eukaryota, Viridiplantae, Streptophyta, Magnoliopsida, Poales, Poaceae. The record is from RefSeq and is a predicted model, not a curated record. The transcript has 4 exons.